GAACGCACAUUGCGCCCCUUGGUAUUCCGGGGGGCAUGCCUGUUCGAGCGUCAUUUCAACCCUCAAGCUUAGCUUGGUAUUGAGUCUAUGUCAGUAAUGGCAGGCUCUAAAAUCAGUGGCGGCGCCGCUGGGUCCUGAACGUAGUAAUAUCUCUCGUUACAGGUUCUCGGCGUGCUUCUGCCAAAACCCAAAUUUUUCUAUGGUUGACCUCGGAUCAGGUAGGGAUACCCGCUGAACUUAAG
Molecule: unclassified non-coding RNA, 242 nt
Filed under: Botrytis porri
Lineage: Eukaryota; Fungi; Ascomycota; Leotiomycetes; Helotiales; Sclerotiniaceae
Description: sequence contains 5.8S rRNA gene
Rfam family: 5.8S ribosomal RNA (bases 1-53)
Source: RNAcentral